Molecule: ribosomal RNA, 392 nt
Filed under: uncultured bacterium
Lineage: Bacteria
Description: partial 16S ribosomal RNA
Rfam family: Bacterial small subunit ribosomal RNA
Source: RNAcentral
AUACGGAGGAUCCGAGCGUUAUCCGGAUUUAUUGGGUUUAAAGGGUGCGCAGGCGGCCAUUUAAGUCAGCGGUUAAAUCGUGGGGCUCAACCCCAUUCUGGCGUUGAUACUGGGUGGCUUGAUUGCGGUCGAGGUUGGCGGACUUCGUUGGGUAGCGGGGAAAUGCAUAGAUAUGACGAAGAACACCGAUUGCGUAGGCAGCUGACCAGACCGCAAAUGACGCUCAUGCACGAAAGUGCGGGGAUCGAACAGGAUUAGAUACCCUGGUAGUCCGCACAGUAAACGAUGAAUACUUGUUUUCGGCGAUAUAAUGUCGGAGGCAAAGCGAAAGCGAUAAGUAUUCCACCUGGGGAGUACGCCGGCAACGGUGAAACUCAAAUGAAUUGACGGGG